RNAcentral lists this ribosomal RNA (319 nucleotides) under Dikerogammarus bispinosus. Its description in RNAcentral is "partial 16S ribosomal RNA". The record is from RNAcentral. Lineage: Eukaryota; Metazoa; Arthropoda; Malacostraca; Amphipoda; Gammaridae.
AAUCAUAUUUAUAGAUACGGUCUCCUCAAAUAUAUCGCACUGUUAUCCCUAAAGUAACUUACACAUAAAAUCUUUAUUUUAAGGAUCUUUUAAUUUUAUUUUGAUAUACACAAAAUCACUGCCCCAGUAAAUUAAUACUAUUUAUUAAUAUAAUUAGCUACUAAUUAUAAAGCUUUUAGGGUCUUAUCGUCCCUUAACUUAUUAAAGAAUUUUUACUUUAUGUUUACUUUAAUAUUAAAAAUUACAAACUAAUUAAGUUAAUUAAACCGUUCAUACUAGUUUCCAAUUAAAAAGCAAUUGAUUAUGCUACCUUAGCACA